Triticum dicoccoides is the source of this 1866-nucleotide long non-coding RNA. RefSeq lists it as uncharacterized. NCBI's taxonomy places the organism in Eukaryota, Viridiplantae, Streptophyta, Magnoliopsida, Poales, Poaceae. The record is from RefSeq and is a predicted model, not a curated record. The transcript has 11 exons.
CCUCCCUGCCCUGCCGCCGCCGCCGCUCGCCCGGGCGCCCAUCCCCGGCCUCAACCCGCCCAUCUAGAGAGAUGGGGGCCGCGCGCGACGAGGCCGGCCUAGCCGCCGCCCCCUUCUCCCGCGACCGCACCGCCCUCUCCUCCUUCCUCACGCCGCCGCCCUCUCCUUCUUCCUCCCGCCUCCCUGUCGUGUCGCCCCGCCGCCUCCUCCCUCGCUCGCUUCCUCCUCCCCUCCCGCCGUUCCCCUCCCCUAACCCUAGAAAUCGAUGAGUUCGGGAAGAAGGAGGGGGCAGGCAAGGGGGAGGUGCUGGAGAGGAAGGUGGAGGAGUUCUUUAGGGCCCUGAAGAAAGGGCCCGAGGAGGGGAAGGCCGACGACGCUUCGACAGCGGCGAAGAAGAAGGCGGUGUUGGGAGGGGCACCGAGGUAGGUGAAGCGGGAUGCGGAGAGGGAGGAAGAAGACUGGUCGCGGCAGCACCUCGCGAGCACGAGGACGGAGCUGCCGCCAAGGUGGGACAGGCCGACAGGGACCAUCGUGCUCAUCGACAAGCCCAAAGCUCAAAAUGGGCUCUUUUUUUAACGGAAUUCAGGGUGGACCUCAUUUACUGUUUGUGGGAAACUACGGCGGUUGGUGAAAGUGCAAAAGGUUGGCCAUGCUGGUACUCUGGAUCCUAUGGCCACUGGAUUGUUGAUUGUUUGCGUGGGCAAAGCAACCAAAGUUGUUGAUAGAUAUCAAGGCAUGGUUAAAGGCUAUAGUGGUGUUUUCCGGCUUGGGGAAGCAACAUCAACCUGGGAUGCAGAUUCACCAGUACUAUGCUUGUCAUGGAUUGCUGCCUCACGUGUAUGCUUAGCACAUCUUCGGUGUUCAGCAUGUUCUUCCAUUUGCUUGAUUGAUUAGAGAACCCUGCUACCUCGACGCCUAGGUUGUGGGCAGAAGGUGAUGAGACGAGCACCUGCACCCCGUGGGCUGCUCCAAGGACCACCCGAGGAUCUACGUCGACUGGUUCGCCAUCGCCGACCCAGCCUUCAGGUCCUUUGUUCUCUUUGAGAGGCGUCACAUACUCAGGGUAUAGAAGGGCUCUUGCACCGGAGGUAUCAUGGUCUGUAAGGCAAGCAUCAUGGUUGUUCAAGCAAUCUACGAUGUCGACGAGGCAACAACUCAUGCAUUACAGAGGUCUAUAUUUGAGAGGUUUUUUCCGUGACCGAAGUGGUAAAAUUGAUAAAUCAGAGCCGUGUGAUGCCCUUCUCAGUCUUGGUUAUUCAGUUUCUCCAACUAUGCUUCUGCCUCAGCCAGGACCUCUUCUGCCCUGCACCGCUGCUGUGAACCCAUCCAUGCGGACAGCCACCUCCAUGCUACAACUGUUGCAGCCUGCAGACGCAGAAUGGGAGAUAGAUGGGGGAAGAACAAAGGAUGUUGUGUACUCUCUUUGGAUUUGAUGCCACCAAAGCUAAGUUGAUUUCUGCUCUCUCCCUCCAUCCCAUGCAUGUGAUUGUUGCUUCCCUCUCUUUUCUAAAUACUCACAUUGCCUUUGCUUAAUCUGCUGAUGUGUGUUAUUUGUAGUUCCUUCCCGGACUCUUAACUAAUCUGCAUAUAUACUAUUUAUUAGUAUUUUGCCCUACACCAUAGUUAGUGCUCAGUGAGCUUUGUUUAUUGAUUACGUUGUUCCCUAUGAAACUAGAAGGCUUCAUGAAUGUUUUGUACAUGUUCUACCAAGAAAUUUUUCUAAGUAACAUAUUGAGUUCAACUGCUAUUUAUUGUGACCUUCGAUAGAAGGAUCCACUCAUUUUUAUGUGUAUAUAUUUAGGCUAAAAUGCAUUAUAUUUUACUGAGUCCUGAGACACGGAUCUUCCCAUUGCCAAAAAUUUCUCA